GGUGGGGGCCAGCCCCACACAGGCGGGAGGGGUGGGAGUUGGGGGCGGGCCGGGCAUCGCGAUGGGCCCCGAUGCCACCCCUGCUCCUGUGUCCCAGAUCAUCGACCCCUUUGUGGAGGUGGAGAUCAUUGGGCUCCCUGUGGACUGCAGCAGGGAGCAGACCCGCGUGGUGGACGACAACGGGUUCAACCCCACCUGGGAGGAGACCCUGGUUUUCACGGUGCACAUGCCGGAGAUCGCGCUGGUCCGCUUCCUUGUCUGGGACCACGAUCCCAUCGGGCGUGACUUCAUUGGCCAGAGGACGCUGGCCUUCAGCAGCAUGAUGCCAGGCUACAGACACGUGUACCUGGAGGGGAUGGAAGAGGCCUCCAUCUUCGUGCAUGUGGCUGUCAGUGACAUCAGCGGUAAGGUCAAGCAGGCUCUGGGCCUAAAAGGCCUCUUCCUCCGAGGCCCAAAGCCCGGCUCGCUGGACAGUCAUGCUGCUGGGCGGCCCCCGGCCCGGCCCUCCGUUAGCCAGCGGAUCCUGCGGCGCACGGCCAGCGCCCCGACCAAGAGCCAGAAGCCGGGCCGCAGGGGCUUCCCGGAGCUGGUCCUGGGCACACGGGACACAGGCUCCAAGGGGGUGGCAGACGACGUGGUGCCCCCCGGGCCCGGACCUGCUCCGGAAGCCCCAGCCCAGGAGGGGCCUGGCAGCGGCAGCCCCCGAGUUAGGAACUGAGAGCGGCGAGUGACAGACACCCGCCCCCUCUCCACGCAGCGGCCGCUCCCCCCACUGUGCAGCCUGGAAACCAUUGCUGAGGAGCCCGCCCCAGGCCCUGGUCCCCCGCCACCAGCGGCUGUCCCCACCAGCUCUUCUCAGGGACGGCCCCCAUACCCCACAGGACCCGGAGCCAAUAUGGCAAACCCCCCAGAGGACACUGAGGAGCCCCGAGACAGCAGGCCUCAGCCGUGCAACGGCAAGGGCGCCGGCGGGGCAUACGAGGGGGCCCCCGGCAGCCAGACGGACGGCAGGAGCCAGCCCCGGACCCUGGGCCACCUGCCCGUGAUUAGAAGGGUGAAGAGUGAGGGGCAGGUGCCCACGGAGCCCCUGGGAGGGUGGCGGCCCCUGGCCGCUCCCUUUCCAGCUCCUGCCGUGUACUCCGACGCCACGGGCAGUGACCCGCUGUGGCAGCGACUGGAGCCGUGUGGCCACCGAGAUAGCGUUUCCUCCUCCUCCAGCAUGUCAUCCAGCGACACUGUCAUUGACCUCUCCCUGCCCAGCCUGGGCCUGGGCCGCAGCCGUGAGAACCUCGCUGGAGCCCACAUGGGACGCCUGCCCCCCAGGCCCCACUCGGCUUCGGCUGCCCGCCCAGACCUGCCACCUGUGACCAAGAGCAAAUCCAACCCCAACCUUCGGGCUACGGGUCAGCGGCCUCCCAUACCUGACGAACUGCAGCCCAGGCCCCUGGCCCCAAGGAUGGCUGGCCUCCCCUUCCGGCCUCCCUGGGGCUGCCUUUCCCUGGUGGGCCUGCAGGACUGCCCCGUGGCUGCCAAGUCCAAGAGCCUGGGGGACCUCACUGCUGAUGACUUUGCCCCUAGCUUUGAGGGUGGCUCCCGCAGACUGAGCCACAGCCUGGGCCUCCCGGGAGGGACACGGCGGGUGUCGGGGCCAGGGGUGAGACGGGACACCCUGACAGAGCAGCUGCGCUGGCUCACUGUCUUCCAGCAGGCAGGAGACAUCACGUCACCCACCAGCCUGGGCCCGGCUGGGGAGGGGGUGGCAGGGGGCCCUGGUUUUCUGCGGCGCUCCUCCUCCCGCAGCCACAGCCGCGUGCGUGCCAUUGCCAGCCGGGCCCGCCAGGCCCAGGAGCGGCAGCAGAGACUGCAGGGCCUGGGCCGGCAGGGACCCCCAGAAGAGGAGCGGGGCACCCCCGAGGGCGCCUGCUCCGUGGGCCACGAGGGCAGUGUGGAUGCACCAGCACCCUCCAAGGGAGCCCUCGGGCCAGCAUCCGCGGCUGCUGAAAACCUGGUCCUGCUCUGCCUCUGACCGUCAGUGGUGGGAACCUGGGCGGCUCUGGAGGCCCAGGGCAGGGGUGGGCGUGUUGUUUGCUCAGGAAACAGGGCAGCCAGGCCCCCAAAACUGUGUGUCCCUGGCUGCCCUGUGUCCCCUCCGCCCCUGCCUCCCUCCUGCCCCUGCUCCCGGGGAGGAAAGGCUAAAGCUGCUGGCCCGGGGCCCACGGGAGGGGCUUCGAGGCUGGCCCUGCCAGGCAGUUUUCCCGGCGUUUUAGGAUCUGUACAUAGAGAAAUAUUUAAAUUUUUAGAAGCAAAACUUAUACAACAUUAAAAUGAUACCAAGUCCCUU
RNAcentral lists this small RNA (2341 nucleotides) under Pan troglodytes (chimpanzee). RNAcentral's name for it is "retained intron". The record is from RNAcentral. Lineage: Eukaryota; Metazoa; Chordata; Mammalia; Primates; Hominidae.